RNAcentral lists this long non-coding RNA (232 nucleotides) under Panax ginseng (ginseng). RNAcentral's name for it is "long non-coding RNA (PGIN_LNC002725)". Lineage: Eukaryota; Viridiplantae; Streptophyta; Magnoliopsida; Apiales; Araliaceae. The record is from RNAcentral.
AAUCUAUCUUCAUCUUGGCUGGCAGCCUAGAUUGAGCCCUGGGACUGAUCUUCCCGUUGGCUUUGCUACAACAGUACUCACAGUGUAAGGUCAGCAGGUGGCAUAGCAAAAUUCCUCACCGAGAUGACUGGACAACCUCUCGACCAGAUCGUUCCAGCGGAGCGAUUAAAAGCGUCUUUGGAAUGAAUUCCUUUGAAGUAGUUUUAGUGCUCUAAUUGAGCGAGCCGUGGAU